This is a long non-coding RNA of Ictalurus punctatus (channel catfish), 833 nucleotides long. The record is from Ensembl. Lineage: Eukaryota; Metazoa; Chordata; Actinopteri; Siluriformes; Ictaluridae.
UUUGUGUUUAUGUAGUUUAUUUAUGUUAAGGUAAUUUAUUUGUGUUUAUGUAUUUAUUUAUGUUAAGGUAAUUUAUUUGUGUUUAUGCAGUUUAUUUAUGUCAAGGUAAUUUAUUUGUGUUUAUGCAGUUUAUUUGUGUUAAGGUAAUUUAUUUUGUAUGUAGUUUAUUUGUGUUCAUGUAGUUUAUUUGCGUUAAGGUAGUUUAAUUCUGUUCAUGAGAUUUAUUUGUGUUUGUGCAGUUUAUUUAUGUCCAUGUAGUUUAUUUGUGCUUAUGUAAUUUACUUGUGUUUGUGUAGUUUACUUGUGAUCAUGUAAUGUAUUUGUGUUAAGGUAAUUAAUGUGUAUUUAUCUAGUCUAUUUGUGCCAAGGUAAUAUGUGUUCAUGUAAUUUAUUUGUCUUAAGGUAAUUUAUUUGUGUCCAUGCAGUUUAUUUGUGUUCAUUUUGUUUGUGUUAAAGUAAAGUAAUUUAUUUGAGUUUGUGUUGUUUAUUUGUAUUAAAGUAAUUUAUUUGUGUUCAUGUAGUUGAUUUGUGUUAAAGUAAUUUAUUUGUGUUUAUGUAGUUUAUUUGUUUUAAGGUAGUUUAUUUGUGUCCAUGUAUUUUAUUUGUUUUCAUUUCGUUUUUUUUUGUGCUAAGGUAAUUUAUUUGUGUUAUGUUGUUUAUUUGUGUUAAGGUAAUUUGUUUGUAUUUAUGUAGUUUAUUUGUGUUAAUGUGUAUGUCGCUGACGUGUGUUCUUGCCAUUUAUUUGUGUUUAGGUUGUUUAUUUGUGUUAAGGUAAUUUAUUUUUGUUUACGUAGUUUAUUGUAUUUCUAUAGUUUAAAUCUAUUUGUGCUCAG